CCUCAGCGCUGAGCUCCAACCCCUCCCAUCUGAGAGAGCUGGACCUGAGCUACAAUCAUCCAGGAGACUCAGGAAUGAAGCUGCUGUCUGCUGGACUGAAGGAUCCAGGCUGGAGACUGGACACUCUCAGGGUGGAGCCUGCUGGAGUCCGAUGGUUGAGACCAGGUCUGAGGAAGUAUUCCUGUCAACUCACAAUCGACACAAAC
This is a long non-coding RNA of Pelmatolapia mariae (spotted tilapia), 206 nucleotides long. RefSeq lists it as uncharacterized. The transcript is spliced from 3 exons. The record is from RefSeq and is a predicted model, not a curated record. Lineage: Eukaryota; Metazoa; Chordata; Actinopteri; Cichliformes; Cichlidae.